CUUUACUGUAACUUGAAAUUGAAAUUGGACUUUAUUUGCGCAGGAUAGGUGGGAGGCGUUGAGAAUAUUCUUGCGGGAAUAUUGGAGCCAUCAGUGAGAUACCACUCUUGUAAUGUUAGAUUUCUAACUUUGUAUCAUUAUCUGGUCAAAGAACAGUUUCAGGCGGGCAGUUUGACUGGGGCGGUCGCCUCCUAAACGGUAACGGAGGCGCACAAAGGUUUCCUCUGAACGGGUAGAAAUCGUAUCUAGAGUGUAAAGGCAUAAGGAAGCUUGACUGUGAGACCUACAAGUCGAGCAGGGACGAAAGUCGGUCUUAGUGAUCUGACGGUGCUGAGUGGAAAGGCCGUCACUCAACGGAUAAAAGUUA
Molecule: ribosomal RNA, 367 nt
Filed under: uncultured organism
Description: bacterial LSU rRNA
Rfam family: Bacterial large subunit ribosomal RNA
Source: RNAcentral